This 485-nucleotide ribosomal RNA is filed under the name Nilaparvata lugens yeast-like symbiont. Its description in RNAcentral is "SSU rRNA". It matches the Rfam family "Eukaryotic small subunit ribosomal RNA", at positions 46 to 533 of the family's 1831-position model. The record is from RNAcentral. Lineage: Eukaryota; Fungi; Ascomycota.
AAGCCAUGCAUGUCUAAGUAUAAGCGAAUUAUACGGCGAAACUGCGAAUGGCUCAUUACACAAGUUAUCGUUUAUUUGAUAGCACCUUACUACUUGGAUAACCGUGGUAAUUCUAGAGCUAAUACAUGCUGAAAAUCCCAACUCCGGAAGGGAUGUAUUUAUUAGAUUCAAAAACCAAUGCCCUCUGGGGCUCACUGGUGAUUCAUGAUAACUUCGCGGAUCGCAUGGCCUUGUGCCGGCGAUGGUUCAUUCAAAUUUCUUCCCUAUCAACUUUCGAUGUUUGGGUAGUGGCCAAACAUGGUUGCAACGGGUAACGGAGGGUUAGGGCUCGACCCCGGAGAAGGAGCCUGAGAAACGGCUACUACAUCCAAGGAAGGCAGCAGGCGCGCAAAUUACCCAAUCCCGACUCGGGGAGGUAGUGACAAUAAAUACUGAUACAGGGCCCUUUCGGGUCUUGUAAUUGGAAUGAGUACAAUCUAAAUCCC